GAAAAGAAAGCAAAAGCGAUUUCCCAAGUAACGGCGAGUGAACAGGAAUAAGCCUAGCGCUAAGGCUCAAUAGGAUGGCUGGCAGCAAUGUCGGUCGUCUUUACGUCAAAGCUAUUGAGCGGUGCAGCGUUACAAACCGCGAUGUUUAGUGGCACCAUUGGCAGUAGUUGGCAACAACUGCUGCUCCCAGCCUAGCAUGCAAGUUCCAUUGACUUGGACUAAUUGCAAAUGACCAAGCGGCCGGGGCAACUCGGCCGCCUGGUUGAGCCAGAGCGGGUGAAAGCCCUAUACCGUGCAGGCAUUGGGGCCACGAAUCGUGGAGGGGGCCCCCUAAGUGGGGUUCCCGAUUUGUUAGAGUCGAGUUGCUUGAGAGUGCAACUUAAAGUGCGAGGUAAACUACUCGUAAGGCUAUGCAAUACGGCUACGACACCGAUAGCAAACAAGUACCGUGAGGGAAAGUUGAAAUAGAACUUUGCAGAGAGAGUUAACAGGGCGUGAAACCGUUAAUUGAGAAACGAAUCGGAGCCACGAAGUCGUUUCGCUGUUUAGUUGGGCCAAGUUCAGUUUGCGAGCGGCUCAUACCCGCUCGCGGGCGUAUUCUUGGUCCGGCCAACUUUGUAAGCGUACACUGCAACCAGUUAGACGAUUGGCCAUGGGCACAGCUGGUCCGCGGGGGCCCCAAAGCCUCCCGGUCCAGCGCAGCAUUUGUUUGUCCGAGUUAGCAGUAGCGCUUGGCGCCUCGGCGUCCAAGUGUUGCUUGGCGCGGACAAGUGAGCUAUGGCCAAAUACUGACUGGCACAAUGAAAAUCGCCUCACCGGCGUUUGACACAACGCAACCGGCCGCAUGGGUGCCUACACCAGCGACUAGUUGGUCUCUAAGCUUGGCGUCUUUGAAUUUGGACUUGCUUGCUACCAGUGGGGCAACUCCUGGUGCUUGUACAGCUUCCAUCUAAUCGGGCGUCGACUUGGCCGGCUAUUGUUCGCUGGUGAACCGAUUGGGUGCACAUGCGAGUCGGCUCGCAAUGA
This 1026-nucleotide ribosomal RNA is filed under the name Aceria eleagnicola. RNAcentral's name for it is "eukaryotic LSU rRNA". It matches the Rfam family "Eukaryotic large subunit ribosomal RNA", at positions 56 to 598 of the family's 3401-position model. The record is from RNAcentral. Lineage: Eukaryota; Metazoa; Arthropoda; Arachnida; Trombidiformes; Eriophyidae.